Molecule: ribosomal RNA, 254 nt
Filed under: uncultured bacterium
Lineage: Bacteria
Description: partial 16S ribosomal RNA
Rfam family: Bacterial small subunit ribosomal RNA
Source: RNAcentral
UACAGAGGGUGCGAGCGUUGUUCGGAAUUAUUGGGCGUAAAGGGCGCGUAGGCGGUGCGGUAAGUCACCUGUGAAAUCUCCUGGCUCAACUGGGAGCUUGCAGGCGAAACUGCCGUGCUGGAGUGUGGGAGAGGUGCGUGGAAUUCCUGGUGUAGCGGUGAAAUGCGCAGAUAUCAGGAGGAACACCGAUGGCGAAGGCAGGUCUCUGGGCCACUACUGACGCUGAGAAGCGAAAGCAUGGGGGAGCGAACAGG